RNAcentral lists this long non-coding RNA (379 nucleotides) under Cricetulus griseus (Chinese hamster). RNAcentral describes it as "lncRNA (ENSCGRG00015038096.1)". The record is from RNAcentral. Lineage: Eukaryota; Metazoa; Chordata; Mammalia; Rodentia; Cricetidae.
CUCUAAUGGGCUCCUGAUCCAGCCAACCCACAGGCUGUAAGAUCGGAGGAUUGGGGAUGUAAGCCCAAUAGGCCACACCCUCUAAGCUGGGGGGAGUAGAAAUUAAAGCCAAAAUGGCAAGAAAGUUCAUGCUAGCUGUUAGGGGUUUUCCUUGCUGUUUCAGCAAGGUUUUUGCUUCUUUCAUCAGGUGCUUGAUCUUCAUCCAAGUGAUUCUUCUUGUCUGCGAAGACGUCAUAGAUUGCCCCAUGUUUUCCUGUGAUUACUUACACUUAACCAGUGAUCCUUUACUGGCGGGACUGCAGUUCCCUGGUAAGAGCCGUACCUGAUUUCUGAGGAGAAAGAAAAGAAAGAUUACCUGUCCUUCAAGUCCCUGUUCUGG